UCUCACUUACAUACACAUUGAUUGUUUGGCAGAAUUAUCUCAUAUGCGAUUUUGUUGUUUACUUUCAGGUAUGUUGCUGCCUAGCAGUAUUAUUCCACUGUGAUGACAUGGGACCGAUCUAAUACGUGACUGGUAUCAAUGUGUGGCUGACAUUGUCGUUCUUCUACUAAAAGGUUCACAGCCGAAGGAUUUUUUUUCAGCUGCUAGGUAGUCUAGAGAAGGGGAGCCUUGGCGCAGUGGUAAAGCUGCUGCCUUGUGACCAUGAGGUCAUGGGUUCAAGUCCUGGAAACAGCCUCUUACAGAAAUGUAGGGAAAGGCUGCGUACUAUAGACCCAAAGUGGUCGGACCCUUCCCUGGACCCUGCGCAAGCGGGAGCUACAUGCACCAGGUUGCCCUUUGCUAGGUAGUCUAGAGUCUCCUGUUGACAAUCACAUGCAUUGCAUCCGAAAUAAGAAGGCAAUGACCUCUAAUUAUUAUGAUUAUUUUAGUAUUUUAUUUCUCCUUUCAGACUAAGCAUACAUGCAUGAUUACUCCUCUAGGGAAUUUUCUGCCCGUCAUUGUUUCGUACGCUUGGACAUUACAAGUACAGAUUGGAUUUAGCAUUCAGCAGUGGCUAAGCUUAUGUAGUAGGAUAAUUUUAUUUUUAUAUACUAAUUUAAUUGCUAGCCAUAUGAAAUUUAAUUAGUUUGAUGCAAGAAUUUCUAGGGUUUCUUAAUUCCUUUCACUACUGUAGGUGCUUCAUGAUUUGCCUCUUCUGUGGAAAUAAGUUUCAUGCGCAUCAAAGCGAGGUCAGAGAUGAAAACCCAUACUUUCUCAAGAAUAAUGUUAGUAUGUAAUUCACAGUUCUAGAACAUAAUUGUUCAUGAAAAGUGUAAUAUAUUCCAUGGGCCUCUGUUUUGAUUACAUAAUUUUUACAACAGUUAGAUGAGAGUAAAAUUCAACUUCCUAUCUUAUCUGCCAUAUCUAGCUCGGUAUAGCUAGCUUCCACCCUUUUGGUUAAUAUCUAUUUCCACUUCUCCAGUUAUUACAAUGCUCCUAAUUCUUUUGGUUGAUUUUGUUUCCUCCAUCAGCGCCUGAGGUUGUCAAUUCAAAGUACUACUAUGAAUAUUUCUUUUAGGAAUAUGAGUUACGCGUUAAUCAAUUGGUGCCUUCAAGUGUGCCUUUCAAAGAAAUCCAUAUAUUAACAAGAUCGAUGGAAAAUUGUAUAUUUGCAUUUGAUUUACAUAAUGAUGUGUAGACUUUUCCUUUGGGAAAUUGAGUCUUUUAUUAAUUAUUUGCACCGUCACACAACCACCAAAAUGUUCACUCCAUGCAAUUGCCUUAUCAUUCAUAUUUCUGCAUAAACAGACUGGUAUAUGUUUUGUUUUCUUAAAAUUCCUUAAAAGAAAUUAUUAUUGCUGCUGCUAUUGUUGUUCCGUUUUUGUUUUUAAAAAUUCACCCAUGCUGAGUAAAUAUGAAUUAUAAAUGCCACAAGUUUUCAUACUCCAAGUGAUCUCUUUAAUGUAUCUAUUUUCUCUUUCGUGCAUAUUCCCUUCAGAUAUGUAAUAGUAUAGCCCAUAAUCAAAUGAUAUAUUUCUACAAUUUUAAUAAAGGUAUGUUUGUUGUUCCCUCAAAUGGGUGAUAUAUUACAGUUUACAGGUUCCUCGUGGUAUUGGUGUUUGUUCAGCUGAAUACUUAACUUGAAUACACCCGUAGUUUACCUUCAUGUCUCAUGUGUACUCCUCCUUCGGCAUGGGAUGUAAAGCUCGCUGAUAUUUCUAUGAUUUGGCACAUAUGCUAUCAUUUAUUGUCUAUCUAAUGUGUUUGGUUUGAAAUAGCUGCAAGAAUAGUAACUGAAGUUCAGUUUCCAAACAUGCAUGUGUAAUUACUAUCAAACAAUUUUCUAUAAGGCUAAGAGCUUAGAUAUUAUUUCUUUAAACUUAUAUCUUCACUUUCCAGACGUAAGAAAUAACACUUAUGGUUAGAAUUAUACUACACGAUUGUUCUGGUGUUGAU
RNAcentral lists this long non-coding RNA (1995 nucleotides) under Triticum aestivum (bread wheat). RNAcentral's name for it is "long non-coding RNA (TAES_LNC014501)". Lineage: Eukaryota; Viridiplantae; Streptophyta; Magnoliopsida; Poales; Poaceae. The record is from RNAcentral.